CAGGGACUGGAUGCUGAACCAGAAUAGUGCUGAGUCAUUUCUUCUGGCUUCAAGAUUCCCCUGGAAGGAGGCUCUGGAUGCUUGGCCCAGGAGUAGGCCACCGUAUUCUAUUGCAGAAAAUGGCAAGCCACCUAGCUUCAACUCUGCUUGUCCUUUAUUUGCUCUGGCUGACCACUGUGUUCUUCUUAUUCCUUUGAGAGGGAAACAUGCUGAGACAGAUAUUUUCCAGAAAACUUGCUCUGAGUUAAUGCCCAAGAAGAGAAGAAAUGAUUUGAACAGCUAA
This 283-nucleotide long non-coding RNA is filed under the name Bos indicus x Bos taurus (hybrid cattle). RNAcentral's name for it is "lncRNA (ENSBIXG00005017079.1)". The record is from RNAcentral. Lineage: Eukaryota; Metazoa; Chordata; Mammalia; Artiodactyla; Bovidae.